Molecule: ribosomal RNA, 210 nt
Filed under: Bacillota bacterium
Lineage: Bacteria; Bacillati; Bacillota
Description: partial 16S ribosomal RNA
Rfam family: Bacterial small subunit ribosomal RNA
Source: RNAcentral
UUCACGGAGAGUUUGAUCCUGGCUCAGGACGAACGCUGGCGGCGUGCCUAACACAUGCAAGUCGAACGGUCCCGCACUUAACUCCGUGCCCAUGGCACCACCUGUUUAAAACCCUUCCCUUCCGGGAGAGGGAUGAGCGGUGAAGACAGCUCGUGGGCAGCGAGUUGAGUGCGGGAUAGUGGCGGACGGGUGAGUAACACGUGGGUAACC